Molecule: ribosomal RNA, 315 nt
Filed under: Paramycosphaerella parkii
Lineage: Eukaryota; Fungi; Ascomycota; Dothideomycetes; Mycosphaerellales; Mycosphaerellaceae
Description: eukaryotic LSU rRNA
Rfam family: Eukaryotic large subunit ribosomal RNA
Source: RNAcentral
AGACCGAUAGCGAACAAGUAGAGUGAUCGAAAGAUGAAAAGCACUUUGGAAAGAGAGUUAAAAAGCACGUGAAAUUGUUGAAAGGGAAGCGCUUGCAACCAGACUCCGCGGCGGUGUUCCGCCGGUCUUCUGACCGGUCCACUCGCCGCCGUGGGGCCAUCAUCGUCUGGGGCCGUCGGAUAAGACCGUAGGAAUGUGGCUCCCUCGGGAGUGUUAUAGCCUGCGGUGAUGCGACGCGCCCCGGGCGAGGUCCGCGCUUCGGCAAGGAUGAUGGCGUAAUGGUUGCCAGCGGCCCGUCUUGAAACACGGACCAAG